This 1909-nucleotide long non-coding RNA is filed under the name Apteryx owenii (little spotted kiwi). RNAcentral describes it as "lncRNA (ENSAOWG00000010765.1)". The record is from RNAcentral. Lineage: Eukaryota; Metazoa; Chordata; Aves; Apterygiformes; Apterygidae.
GUGAGAGCCCAGGGCCUGCUGCUGUGUUUUGGGACGCAGCAGCUCCCUUGUUCUCUUCCACACUGCCUUGGGGGGAGCCCGGCCAGGCUGACGAGGAUGGGCUGCCGCACGUGCGGCCAGCUCAAAAGGGGAAGCAGAACUGGCUGAGGGGCCUGACUUCUUGUCCCCGGGAGCUGGGCAAAUCCUCUGCGGGUAAGAAAGUCCCCAGAGCUGGUAGCUCUCCAUGUGCAGCUGGGGAUCCCGCCCUUGACAGAGGAGGGCAGCCCAGCCAGGAGAGAUGUCACAGGAGUGGGUCCUGUAGCAGCACCAUCCCAAGGGAAGAUGUGGCUUCCCCAGAAGGUGCACUCCCUGCUUGGAGUCAAGAGCAGGGGCUCAGCAGCCAGAGCUUCUCAGAGCAGGGAGCUCAGGCAGCGAUGGAGGGCCCCUACCCACAGCACGCCUGAGACCCUCAGCAGCAAGCAGAGCUUGUGCCGGGGCAGGCAGGUACCGGCGUUCAUUCCUGGGGUUUUUGCACUCCUUCCAGUGCUAGGUUUCCACUCUUGCUCCGGCAAGAAGAAAGGCAAGGAGGUUCAGAAGCCCAUGGAGACCUUGUGACUGUGUAAGUGAUUUCUCGCCAGCUCUCUCCCACACAUGCUUCCCCUCAUUUUGCAUUGGACCCCAAGCAUCCUCCUCAGCUAGCCAGCUGGGGGACACAUCCUCCCCACGUUGCCCUGCCCAAAGCGCAGGCACUGCACAGGGCCUCCAUCCAGGGGAUGCACUUCACAGCCUGCUCGAGCUCGCCUCCUGCCUCUAUCCUGGCCCUCCUCAAGGCUGAGCCUCUGCUCAGCUCUUCUCCUCCACCUCCACUGCACACAAGGGCAGGAGGAGCUGGGCUGAGCACCCUGGCAGUUGGGCUUGCAGUGCACACCAUGGUGGCCCUGGUGCUGUGCCUUGCACACCAAUUGGGAGCCCUUUGGAGGAGGCCUCAGUCUGUCAUCUCCACACUUCUGCUCACUGCCUUGCCCUUCCCGAUUGCAGUGUGCCCACGGGCCUUGUGGAGGAGCAAGUGGAGAGCAGCACCAGUGCCUCCAGCCCAGCCAGUGACCAACACCUGGUGAGCAAGGGCAGUCCCCCUCACAUAGCUCUCAGCCGGCCCCUGCAUGGACACUCGCACCCGCCUCAGCAAGGAGCAGAACCACCAAGCCCAAGGCACGGGAUCCCUGCUCCCCUCCUGGCCUGGCCCAGCUGUGCACAGCCUUUGGCAGCUGGCUGCUGUCCCCACUGCUGUUGGCCAGCAAAGGGGAAAGGCAGCGGGCAGCUCUAUCCCAAAGGGAGAGAGGGUGGGAAGCAGUUGGGAGGAGCAGCUGUGGAAAGGCUGCCUUCCAGGGAGGUCCCCAAGGCCUCCUGUUGCAGCAGGGGCUGCACCCAGGAGGCUGCAAGCACCAGCAUGACAGCUUCAGCAGCCCUGGCUUGCCAUCUCCCUCAGCCUGACAGAGCCACCAGCCUCCCUCAAGGUCCAUUCCCUCCACACCUUCUCCCCUUCCUCUCUGAGCCCUUGUCUUUUCCACCCUUGUCCACAAAGGCUGAGAAGAGCCUCAACGGAGGGGUGCCCAGCCCUGAGGAAAGCAGCAUGCCUUGUGGGGAAGAAACCGGUGAGAUGGGCAAGCCCCGAGCUGCCCGGGUGCCCAGGGAACAGGGCUGGCAGGACGGGGGCAUGCCGGGUGCUGGGCUGAGCCAAGCAGCUGGCAGCAAAGGGCAUCUCCUCCUUGAAAGUCCGGGUAUAGCCAUAAGAAGACUUUGGGAGGCAGCUUGGCUGUGGGGUGCCCCAGAUGCCUUGGGGAAACUGUUUCCUGGGGCAGUGUUGACAGAGGUGACAAAAGAUGCCGGGGAGAAAAGCCCUGGCAGAAGCGACUCAGGCUACUGCUGGUGA